GUUAGGACCCCUUCAAGUACAGUUGAUCUUGCAGCAUCGGAUUUACUGUCAGGAAGCAAUCUGGACACAAUGAUUAACCAGAUAAUGGAGAUGGGGGGUGGCAGCUGGGACAGAGAUAAGGUCCAAAGAGCUCUCCGUGCUGCUUAUAACAAUCCAGAACGUGCCAUUGACUAUCUGUACUCUGGUAUUCCAGUGACAGCUGAAGUUGCUGUUCCGCUGGUUGGUCAAGGGGCAAACACCACUGAUGCAGCUCCCGGAGAAACCGGCCUCUCUGGAAUCCCAAACACAGCACCAUUAGAUCUUUUCCCACAGGGGGCUUCCCAUGCUGGAGGUGCUGCUGGGGGUGGAUCACUUGAUUUUCUUAGAAAUAACCAACAGUUUCAAGCACUUCGGGAAAUGGUCCAUACAAAUCCACAAAUUUUACUGCCUAUGCUCCAGGAAUUGAGCAAGCAGAAUCCUCCACUUCUGAGGUUGAUUCAAGAGAACAAUGAUGAGUUCCUUCAGUUACUAAACGAGACAUUUGAAGGCGGCGAUGGGGACUAUUUAGACCAGGCUGACCAGGAUGAGAUGCCUCAUGCUAUCAGUGUAACACCAGAAGAGCAAGAGGCAAUUGGGCGGCUGGAAGCCAUGGGGUUUGAGAGAGCACAUGUCAUCGAAGCAUUCUUCGCCUGCGACAGGAAUGAGCAACUCGCUGCAAACUAUCUUCUUGAGCAUGCUGGUGCUGAAGAAUAG
RNAcentral lists this ribosomal RNA (732 nucleotides) under Triticum aestivum (bread wheat). RNAcentral describes it as "partial small subunit ribosomal RNA". Lineage: Eukaryota; Viridiplantae; Streptophyta; Magnoliopsida; Poales; Poaceae. The record is from RNAcentral.